Molecule: transfer RNA, 75 nt
Filed under: Erysipelotrichaceae bacterium
Lineage: Bacteria; Bacillati; Bacillota; Erysipelotrichia; Erysipelotrichales; Erysipelotrichaceae
Description: tRNA-Ala
Rfam family: tRNA
About the family: Transfer RNA (tRNA) molecules are approximately 80 nucleotides in length. Their secondary structure includes four short double-helical elements and three loops (D, anti-codon, and T loops).
Source: RNAcentral
GGGGCCAUAAUAUAGCGGCUAUUAUACCACGCUGGCAGCGUGGCUACACGAGUUCGAUUCUCGUUGGCUCCACCA